UGCUGGUCGAACUGAGCGGUUCAUGGCGGAUCUUUCUGUGGUCACUUCUCCUGCUAGUUUCUGCUCUUUAUUGACAGUUUUUCCUUAUGAUUAAAGGAAAUAUUCCGAACUGCUUUGGGAGAGAACAGCUGAAGCUGGACCUUCUGGAGACGCUCGGACAGAUGCACAAUGAGGGACGUCUGCAGCGACUGAGAAAGAGUCUCACCACAUCCUGACAUGAGGAAAAAGACUUCAUUGAAGACUACAAUGAGAAAAACUAUCAGACAGCAGACGGCAUGCAUUCAAGCUGCUGAAUUCAUGGAUGAAUCAUCUGGCACUAGAGAGGAAGACCAUCAAACAUCCACAUCAGCUGAUGGAGGUCCAAGAGUCUCACCAAACAAACAACCUACAGAGUGAAGACCUCCAAUCUGAUUGGACGGCCUCCUAUUCAGCCACAUUUUAGGCUGUUAGAUUGUUCCAGAUAAGACAAGUACAAGAUUCUUCAGAGCCGUUCUACCACGAGCCUGACAGGAAGAACUCCAACAGCUACUGAAUGUUCCUGUGGUCCCCUCAAGGCUACAGGAGGAGUCCUACGAGGACGAGCCGGUCCACCUGAUGGUGGCCAGUAGCUGUGGUUCAAAGCCAACACCGACUACGUGGACUUCUACUGGACCACACGGAGGCCUUCAAACCGGACCAACAAGUUCAGCGACUCCCCGACUCGUGGGUCUGAGGAUGCUGCCGAGCCUCGGUCCAGCUGGCCUCCUGUCUGUGGGUGUUUGAGUGCUGAGAGGUUUGUGGAUGCAUGUGAACGUUCUGUGUUGAAACAGCAGCUUUGGACUCAGUAACGCCGGGAAAAACCAAGAGCUCCUUUAUUUGUGACUUCCACUAAAAAACUGAUGAAAAUAAGUUUGCCAGGGUUCUGACUGAUAACAGAUUAUUAAAUAAUGAAAAUAAUAGUUUAAAUAUUCCUUUAAACAAUCCUUUUAGGUCUACAUUUCCUUUACACUGACUUCUUGGUAUAUGUACAAGUAUUUUGGGUUAGGGUCUUUUAGUCUACAUGUAAGGAUGUUUAGGAUGGUAUAUUCUUCCAAACCAACUUCUCAGGUCUACAUUUCAGGUGGAAUAUUCCUCCAUACUAACUUUUUUGGUCUGCAUUGAAGGAUUUUUUCUAAACCACCCUUUCGGGUCUAUAUUUGAGGAUUUAGGUGGAAUAUUCCUUUUAACGAGCCCCUCAGGUCUCUUUGAGGAUUUUGGAUGGAAUACUCGGUUAAACCAACAUUUUAGGUGCAUGUCCAAGGAUUUUUGGUGGAAUGUUCCUCUAAGGUGGAUGUGUGAGGACCUUGUAGGUGGAAUACUUCCUGAAACCAACCUUUUAGGUCAACAUUCAAAGAUUUAAGAUGGAAUAUUCCUUUAAACCAACCUAAAUUUCAUGUUUUGAUCAUUAUCAAGCGAGAAACCUCAAUCCAGACUCCUCAUAAUGACGUUUGAGAUUUAUGCUGCUGUUAUUUGUUUAGUCCAGACUAAAUGACAGAAAUCCACAACUGUAAUUUUAUCUCAGGACUCGGUUAUUAAAUGUCAAAACUAGAAAAGCACUCAGAGAGCGCAGUACUCCACCAAGGCUGUUCAGUUGACGUAUCAUUUCCGAUGGAUGAAAUCUUUAAUAAAAAAUGAUCUUGUGCUGAGCACAGGCAUGUGUUAUGCAUGUGCAUGUUAUGCACGAAUACCAAAUUGUGUGUAAAUUACUCUUAUAAAAGUCUGUUGAUCAGUUCAUCACUUUUGACAAACCUUUGUUUUGCUAGUGUUAAAAUAACGGCUCCUUUCAUGCUUUUAUUUUGAAGACAUAGUUUUAAUGUUGCAGGCUUUUAUUUUGUCACCAUUCCAGCAGCACAGGAAGUGAUUCUCUAAGAAGCGGUUUCUUGACAUGACGAAGAUGCUGCCGAAAAGUCCGAAAAUUCAAAUAAAGAUGAAAGAAAGCGGUUCCACGCUGUUGCUGUCUAGCAAAGGAUGCGUCUAAACUUAGAAGCAGCUAGUGGGGACAAGCUCUUACUGUGAAGAAAUGAGUGAAGGACAGAAAGGUGAAUUUGUGUUCAAAAUAAGGCUGACAGCUGAACUUAAGGUGUCUGGCUGGGGUUUGCUACAUCACGUGACCUAAAUAUGUAGCGGACGGUAGGAAUUGAUGGGACUCAGAAACAACCCACAGUUUAAUUAUUUGUUCCUUGUAUGAUUUCCAGCUGAUAAAUCACAGUCAGUUUGUAGUAGGAUCGCAAUCAUGUGAUCGUCAGCAGGGAAAUCUUUAACAAAGCUGUAGGUCCAGACUAUAAGCCGCAUCACUGCCAAAAUCUAAUCACUUGGUCCUUGUGUCAUUUCUGACUUUCUCUGAAAAUUUCAUCCAAAUCUGUUGCUCCGUUUUUCAGUAAUGUUUCACACAGACGGACAGAUUCACAGAUAAAGUUACGCUGAUCGUCACAUAACUCCGCCCGUUCCUUGGCGGAGUAACAAUCCAUGCGACUCUAAAAACUCAACAGCUUUACAAACUCUAAGAUUAAACUCUCCAUAAGGAUCCAAAAUAAGUUGGACUUCUACAUGAGAGCUUUAAUUAUUCUUCAUCUACUUCCUGAAAAGUUUGGUCAAUAAAAAAGACAAAAAUUGAUAUUUUCAGCUGAACUAAAGACAGACUUUGUGAUUUUUCUGCUCACAUGUUGUGUUGUUGUAAACUUCCUCUUUCAAAUAAAUAGCCUCCUAACCCCCUGGAAACCAGCAUUUGUCCUGUUUUUGUGUUGCUCAUCAGAGACCCUAGACAGCCGGGUCCUAAUGUUUUUUGAGCAACACACCAUACUAUGACGUUUUUACAAUGAUGGUUCUACUAUGGAACCAGUUUGACAUGUUCAGGUGUUCUUUUUGUGAAAAUUCAGAGAUUUCAGGGAUCAGAAGGUGGUUUUCAUCUUUCUUUGUUAACUUUCUGCUUCAACUUUAAACUAAAUUUCCUUCACUAACCCAGCCCUCUGUACUUCCAGUAAGCUGUGUUCCUAUUGGCUGUCCAGGUGGCUGCUUGGUGUUAUCAGGAACACCUGAGCAGCUCAGUGUCUUCCUGCUUUAUUUAGCUGCAGACAAACAUUUCCUCUGUUUCUCUUCACCACUGAACCGGGUUUGACUCUGUUGCUUUAGUUUGUUUUUUAGGCGUUGGCUUGCAGCUUCCAGCAGUAAAAUCGUCUUUAAUGUGUUUCUUGGUGUGUUUUAGGGCUUUGUACUGGAUAGUUGUCUUGGUAAAUGUGGUUCUUUAGCUACAGUUAGCACAUGGUGCUAAUGUGUGCAGUGAUUAGUGGAUUUGUUGCAGCUGAGUUGUGUCUUUAUCUUGGCUGUAGUGAGUCUUUAGAGGUUUUUGGUCAGACACAUUCUGUAUUCUUGUUUGAGAACCAACGUUGGUUGUCCAGAAGGUAAGAGUUCCUGUCCUGAUUCUCUGUUCUCAGAGGUUCUCUGGUAGGCUGCAGGAGACUUUAGUGUUUGGGUUGUGCAAGUUUGGUUUUUGUAUGGUUUCAUUUGGACGACUAUCUUGAGGCUCCUCCAUGUGGUUUAGUGAGGUUUUCUGGAACAGUUCUACAAAGCAACCUGCAGCAGAAGAGACUUUGAGAGUUUUUAGGAAGUUCUGGAGACCAGACUUUAGAGCAGCAGAAACAUUUGUCAGCAGUUUGAGGAGGAGAAGGUGAGCUUCAGAGUAGAAAUGAGAAGGAAACCUUCUUGACCCGUGUGGUGAGGUCCUGUACCAAGAGUUUGAGCAGGUUGUGAAGAGUCUGUAGUUCUUUGGUCUGAAAGCACAAGAAGAGUCGACUCAUUAAAGGAGAAAACAGGAGAUAUUGUUGGUUCUUCCGUCACUCUACAGUUUCCAGUUUCCUUAGACUGAAUAUCAAGUUUAUAUUUGAAAUGAUUUCCCAUGUGAGCCCAAGAAGACUUCAAUAAACUCACUCCAUCCCCUGGACACAACAUAUUUUAUUACCAUGUUAAGUCUUUUUAAAAAAAAUUUUUUUUUAUAUCGUUUUAGCAGUUUUUUCUCUUUGGUUGUUUAGUUUUGUCAUCUGUGUGAAAGGUGCUAAACAAAUAAAGUUGAA
Amphiprion ocellaris (clown anemonefish) is the source of this 4085-nucleotide long non-coding RNA. RefSeq lists it as uncharacterized. The transcript is spliced from 4 exons. Lineage: Eukaryota; Metazoa; Chordata; Actinopteri; Pomacentridae. The record is from RefSeq and is a predicted model, not a curated record.